Long non-coding RNA from Brassica napus (rape), 884 nucleotides. RefSeq lists it as uncharacterized. The record is from RefSeq and is a predicted model, not a curated record. The transcript has 2 exons. NCBI's taxonomy places the organism in Eukaryota, Viridiplantae, Streptophyta, Magnoliopsida, Brassicales, Brassicaceae.
AAUAAAAUUCAGAUUUAUAUUUAAACCUUAUUUAAUAUUAAUAUCCUUAUUUAUUCAUAUUUUCUAGAAAUGUUAUAUAUUUAAUUGGUUAAUCUAAAUAAUCAAAUAUGUCAUAUUAUGCAAUUAAUUAAAUGGUUCUACUAUGACAUGUCAAUAGUAGAUAAAAUGUGUCUCUAUUUUAAUAUAAUAGAUAUAAAAGUUUUUACAAAUAAAAACAAAAAUCUUGACCAAAAUUAAAUCAAGUUGGAAUGGAUACAAAUCUUGACAUUCAUUAUUUAAGAUUUGUUUUGACAUCAUAUUAUUUAAGAUUAUUAAGUUGGAAUGGAUGAAAGAUAGAUCAUUCAGUGGAAUGGAGUUAUACUGUUACUAACAAUUUAAUAUUGUUGCCUAAGACUAUAAAUUGAAUAGAUAGAUGUGUAUAUAUAGGUGUGUGUGUGACAUUAGAAUGAAAGCAUAAAAAUAGAAAUCAUUAAAAAGGAGAACAUGGUGUCUAGGAAAGUGCUCCUUCUAGGCCUUUUGAUGUGUCUUUCAUGGUUGUGGGUAGCUAAAGCAUUGGAAGGAGAUGCAAAAUUUAGGGACGACGUGACAGAUGUACCGAUACAAACACAACGUGGAGGAUCUUGCGACAAUGAUGGCGUUUGUCAAGCUUUUUGUCCAGGCUGUGCAGUAACAAGAUGUAUCUUCAAACAAUGUGUUUGCGAGCAAUGUAUCCCUCCGAAACCAAAGUUACGUGUUAGAAGAGAUGCAACGACGGAAGAUGGAGGACAGACUUGCGACGACGACAACACUUGCAUUAAGAACUGACCCCGCUGUGCUUUUGUUCAAUGUAUCGACCGAAAAUGUUUUUUUUUUUUGCUAAAAGACCGAAAAUGUUUUUGCAUUAA